RNAcentral lists this ribosomal RNA (514 nucleotides) under uncultured Diversispora. RNAcentral describes it as "SSU rRNA". It matches the Rfam family "Eukaryotic small subunit ribosomal RNA", at positions 569 to 1083 of the family's 1831-position model. The record is from RNAcentral. Lineage: Eukaryota; Fungi; Glomeromycota; Glomeromycetes; Diversisporales; Diversisporaceae.
AGCAGCCGCGGUAAUUCCAGCUCCAAUAGCGUAUAUUAAAGUUGUUGCAGUUAAAAAGCUCGUAGUUGAACUUCGGGGUCUACCCAUCGGUCAGGCUUAAUUGUCUGUACUGGUGAGAUGGAUCUCUACCUUCUGAGGAACUUUCAUGCCAUUUAUUUGGUGUGAUUGAAAAUCAGGACUGUUACUUUGAAAAAUUAGAGUGUUUAAAGCAGACUAUCGUCUGAAUACAUUAGCAUGGAAUAAUGAAAUAGGACGGACUGAUUCUAUUUCGUUGGUUUCUAGGAUCACCGUAAUGAUUAAUAGGGAUAGUUGGGGGCAUUAGUAUUCAAUUGUCAGAGGUGAAAUUCUUGGAUUUAUUGAAGACUAACUACUGCGAAAGCAUUUGCCAAGGAUGUUUUCAUUAAUCAAGAACGAAAGUUAGGGGAUCGAAGACGAUCAGAUACCGUCGUAGUCUUAACCAUAAACUAUGCCGACUAGGGAUCGGACGAAGUUAAUUUUANAAUGACGCGUUCGG